Molecule: ribosomal RNA, 254 nt
Filed under: uncultured bacterium
Lineage: Bacteria
Description: partial 16S ribosomal RNA
Rfam family: Bacterial small subunit ribosomal RNA
Source: RNAcentral
UACGGAGGGUGCGAGCGUUGUCCGGAAUCACUGGGCGUAAAGGGCGCGUAGGUGGCCCGUGGAAGUCUGCGGUGAAAGUCCGGCGCUCAACGCCGGAUCGGCCGUGGAUACUCUCGGGCUUGAGCUUACUAGAGGCAGUUGGAAUUCCGGGUGUAGCGGUGGAAUGCGUAGAGAUCCGGAAGAACACCGGUGGCGAAGGCGGUCUGCUGGGGUAAUGCUGACACUGAUGCGCGACAGCGUGGGGAGCAAACAGG